GCCCGGGUGGUGGAAUCGGUAGACACGAGGGACUUAAAAUCCCUUGGCUUAUGGCUGUGCGGGUUCAAGUCCCGCCUCGGGUA
Molecule: transfer RNA, 83 nt
Filed under: Candidatus Hamiltonella defensa (Bemisia tabaci)
Lineage: Bacteria; Pseudomonadati; Pseudomonadota; Gammaproteobacteria; Enterobacterales; Enterobacteriaceae
Description: Hamiltonella endosymbiont of Bemisia tabaci tRNA
Rfam family: tRNA
About the family: Transfer RNA (tRNA) molecules are approximately 80 nucleotides in length. Their secondary structure includes four short double-helical elements and three loops (D, anti-codon, and T loops).
Source: Rfam by way of RNAcentral